GUGCUCGCUUAGGCAGUACAUACACUAAAAUUGGAAUGAUACAAACAAGAUUAGCAUGGCCCCUGCCCAAGGAUGACAGCAAAUUCAUAAAAGUGUUUCAUAUUUUU
Loxodonta africana (African savanna elephant) is the source of this 107-nucleotide small nuclear RNA. The record is from Ensembl. Lineage: Eukaryota; Metazoa; Chordata; Mammalia; Proboscidea; Elephantidae.